GAAUGUAGCUCAGGGGUAGAGUGCACGCCUAGCAUGCAUAAGACCUUAGGUUCGAUCCCAACAUCA
RNAcentral lists this transfer RNA (66 nucleotides) under Marmota monax (woodchuck). RNAcentral describes it as "tRNA.Ala". Lineage: Eukaryota; Metazoa; Chordata; Mammalia; Rodentia; Sciuridae. The record is from RNAcentral.